This is an RNA transcript of Girardinichthys multiradiatus, 3825 nucleotides long. It is a transcript of the gene named type II inositol 3,4-bisphosphate 4-phosphatase-like, with no coding region annotated. The transcript has 26 exons. NCBI's taxonomy places the organism in Eukaryota, Metazoa, Chordata, Actinopteri, Cyprinodontiformes, Goodeidae. The record is from RefSeq and is a predicted model, not a curated record.
GAAAAACGUUAUAUAAAUAAACCUGAUUUGACUAGAACGCUCGGUCAGGAAAUUGCAAACCUCGCGAUACUUGAUUGGUUACUACAGUCGUAAGUCCAAACAAACACUUAGAGACCGGAUAAGUCGAUUAAGACCUAAAAGCCACUUUUAAUACUGGAACCAGUGAACACUAGGAUGAUCCUGAUGAUGGAGCUGUGAGGAGGAUGAAACUGAGGGUGAACCUCCACCACCUGAUGUUCCGAUCCACAAAGCAAACAUCUAGAAACUUCAAGAGUAAGAGAGGCUGCAGCCUAACUUCCUGGAACAUCCCGGCCGUCCACAGUAGACCAGCUUCCUGAAGAAAGGGCCGCAUUAAUCCGGGGAUUGUCUAAACAGAAGCAAAACAUACUGGCGUUCCUGCAUUGGCCACACAUUUCAGCUGAGAGGAAACCUGCCCAAAAGAACCAGACGAGCUGCAGAAAGACGUUUUAACGUGCAUGAAUUGUCAUUGCAGGCUGGAGAGCCGGAGAGAUGUAAUGUCAGGAAGCUUCCAGAAGAUGGUGGACGACUGAUUGCUUUAGGAGCGGCGAUCCUCUCGUGUUUCAGCCACUGCGCAGACCGCUCCUCCGGGCUCGUCGCUCUGAGGGACGCCAACAUGAAUUCGCUGAGGAGAGGCAUCACCAACCUGCGCACCCUCAUCGACAGUCAAUCACACCGGCAGCACACACACGCUGCUGCAGAGCAAGGCGAAUGGAAUAACAACCUGGAAGAUCUCGGAGGUGCACGUGGAGCCCUAACUGGUGCUAUAGUGCCUCAGCUGCUCCUUAAUGUUGAGUGUCGAGUUGUGGUUGUCACGGCAGCCAGCGUCAAAAUUCAUGUUUCUACAGUCGAUGCCUACGAUGUCAGGAAGCACUGCAGCACUCAGACAGCAAAGAGAUCAGAGGACGGCGCCUUUCGAGCUUCAAUGUGUUGCUGUGUCGACUACAAGCUGCAGCACCACAGCAGGAUGGAAGUCAGAGUUUACAGAGAAGAUGAUUUAAGGGCGCGCUCCAAAAGAAACUGUCUGGGCUUCACAUCUUUCUCCAUCAGAGAUCUUCUCAGGUCCAAGGAGCCUGAGAGCUCCCUUAAGCUCAGGACGAUGGACGGAGUAAAUGAGGUCGGGGAGGUGAAGGUGUCCCGUCUGCAGGUGGAGGAGGAGACGGAGGUUAAAUCUCCUGAAAAUAAGAGCUCUGUGCUGUGCGACGCUCUGCACGGCUCCGUCCAGGACAAAGAAAACAGCCCGAUGAUGCGAGCGGCUUUGUGCUCUCAGGUGUGCAAGUUGUACAGGUUUCAGACGGAGGACCACAGGUGGCUGCUGGUCAGGGAACAGAUGUCAGAGUCGCCGCUCUCCUUCUCUUUACCCAAACAGCUACUGAGCGUGCUCAUUCAGGAGCACACAGACCGAGUCCUUGAGGUCAAGGAGCUCUGUGACCUUUCGCCGCACUGGGACGGCCUUCGCCACGAUGUCAUCUUCCACUGUAACCAGUUGAUCAGUUGCUAUCAGCAGACGCAGGCUGAGCUCCACAAACUCUCAACUUCGUCUUGUUUCAAGGCGAGCAGCAGCAAGUCUGACCGACACCUCCAAUUCAUUUCAACCAACCUGCACUCACAGAGGAUGGAGGUGACCAGCCCCGACAGCUCAGGUGUUUGGUACGAGGUCAUCACGUUCGGAGCUCCCGCUGAUCACCACCACGCGUUCAAACACGGAGGACUGAAGAGGCUGAUCAGCAAACACACAGACCACAGAAAGAGCUCAGUGUCAUAUUCCAGAGACGAGAGCUGCAGGGCCAAGGAGCUGCUGGCCAGCGUCGCCCAGCUGCAGCCUCUGAUCUUCGGGCUCGCUGAGGAGCUGCUCUCCAUCUCUGUGGAGGAAAACUUCGGGCGUCUGGAGGAGGUCCUGGACAGCCUCAAGGAGCAGACCAUACUGUUUAUUCAUGCCCUAAAGGACGAGCUUGUUAAAAGCGCCUUGCUGGACAUACACAACCAGUCCACCGCUAACAACGGCAGCAGCCAUGUGCAUAGCAACGGAUUGCUCUGUGAAAUCUCCCCGGGCGACCAGGAAGGGGCGCUGUCGCUUCGGCUGCAGGAAGAAAGGGAGUACAGCGAGGAGGAAUGGGGCAGGACGUGGGCGAAUGUCGGGAAGAGUCUGGACUGCAUCAUAGCCAUGGUGGACCGGUUGCAGGGGCGAGAGCGCCUCCUACAGGAACAAUCCUCACUGGAGCAGCAGGAAUCUACGGGGGACACAAAGUCUCAAAACACAGCCUCUCCUUCCUCCUUCUCCUCCUCCACUGUGUCCUCCUGGCAGGAGCAGCUGCUCCCCCUGGUGGUCACUCUCAGAGAUUGCGUGCGGGAUGCGGUAACGAACGCUCGAACUGCCAUGACCUUUGUUGUCCUGCAGGGGGCAGUGGCUGCGACCGUUGCUCAGGGUCCUGCACAGAUUGUCCAACGGCGCCACGCUGUCUUCAGCCAGGCGCUGUCGGCGCUUGUUUGUGGCUUCAUGCUGAAGCUUUUUGGAGGUCUGGAGGAUCCAGAGUUCCUGCAGCAGCUUCACUCUGUAGGAAUCCUAGCUCAGUUUGAAGGCCUGCUGAGCACCUACGGUGAGGAGGUGGGGAUGCUGGAGGACAUGGACGUGGGCGUGUCCGACCUGAGCAGCGUGGCGUUCACCGUCACUGAGGCCGAAUCAGAGCAACCAGACGACCUGCUGCCGACGCUCAGGGGAACAUGGGGCGGUUUUGUUGUCGACGUGCCGCUGCCCUCAGAAACCUUCAGCUCAUUACCUCAGGAACUAAAGUCGGGUCGUUUGAUCCGGGUCGAGCCUGUUCUGUUUAACAUCGGUAUCAACCAGCAUCAGAGUCUGGCUGAGAGGUUUGGAGACAGUUCGCUGCAGGAGAGAGUCAAUCAGCAAAGCUGUGAACGUCUCAAAGCUUAUGUUAACAAGCUGAGAGACAAACUUCCUCAUAUGGCUGGUAUCCAGUCACUAUUAGACUUGCUUCCAUCUCUUGAUCGCAGCAUGGAGACCAAAAAGAGGAAAAACGUGGAGGUUUUGUGGAUCGCAGCUUCAGUGUGUCGUAAAGUAAACGGCGUGCGACUGACGAGCUGUAAGAGUGCGAAGGACCGCACGGCGAUGUCUGUGACGCUGGAGCAGUGUAUGAUACUCAGAGAGCAACACACACUCAGCCAGCAGCACUUCAACUCUGCACUGGACAGCAUGAGGAGGUCUCGUCUGUCCUGGGGGCAGAUGCUGGGCUGUUAUGCCCACUCAGGGUUCUCUGUUUCUGGGUUUGAUCCGACAGAGUGUCCCUCUGGUCUCCACAGCUCCUGGCUUCAACUGUGCUUGGUUUCCAGGAGACACUUUUACCCAGUGGCCUUCCUCCUGGUGACCUCUCACCUCCUGGUUCUCUGGCUCAUCUUCAGCUUGGUGAUUGUGCUGGCUAAAUACCAGUAAACCGCCUCAGACUGGGAGCACUGGAGUCUACAGAUUGUAAAUGUUCUCCCAGGGACGGCUGCAGGACGGAGAACGUCCAGAAGAACGUCGGCAGCAGGAAGUUCGCCUUCAGCAGCGUCCAGCUCCUCACCUUCCCCAAACUCUACAGACCUCCAGACGGCAGCUACGGAUAGACACUCCGUCUGUUUCCACACGUAUUUAUGUCCAAAGAUGUUUUAUUUUCUCAUGUGAAGUGUGUGUGUUUGCUGGUUAAUGUUUGCAGAUUGUAUUUCUGUGUGAAUGAGAACCAUGUGUUCUGUUGACUGUGUUUACAGCUGUUUGAAUUACAAACAUGUUUCUGCAAUAAAUUACUGAACUCCUGA